GUUUGAAACUCUCUUCCAAAGUCCCCUAGCUACCCAUCACAUGUUGCAGCUGGUACUCAUUUCGUGUCUGGAUAUCUGUGGACUCCGCCUGCUCUAUCCUCAGCAGGAUGUGCUGCUCUCUAGAUCAGAAAAGCUGCCUUCUUCCUAUACUUCAAAGACUGGCAAGGUGCCACCAGUGCUGGCGUUAGGUGUGAGAGGGCCUAAAGCAUGUAGCACCUUGCAGGAUCUCAUCGGGCUGUGUGACCCGCAGCUGGCGAGCAUGGGGGACUGCAGUUCCAUCAAUGCCAUGCACUGCAGGAGCCGAGCGGAGCCUCUCGCCUGCCUGCCCCUCGGGGACAGCUGCGUGCACAGGGAGCUGUGCCUCUGGUUUGGAGGGAGGGCUGCUGAUGCAGCACUGCACGCUGCCGUCCUGGAGCCCGCUUCCCUGUGCAACGACACAGCAAGCUGUCAGAGUCCUUCAUCAUCUAGGGCAGAAGCAGAUGAAGAAAAGGUUGAUUUCCAGGGCAUGGUGCUGUCUCGACCUCCAGCAAUGCUUGUCUCAACUACCAAAGGUCAGUGUUAGGGAAUGCAUCUUCAGGUUUUAUGGUUCUCCUUCACUGGCAAUAUUACCUUACUC
RNAcentral lists this long non-coding RNA (616 nucleotides) under Athene cunicularia (burrowing owl). RNAcentral's name for it is "lncRNA (ENSACUG00000001260.1)". Lineage: Eukaryota; Metazoa; Chordata; Aves; Strigiformes; Strigidae. The record is from RNAcentral.